RNAcentral lists this ribosomal RNA (254 nucleotides) under uncultured bacterium. RNAcentral's name for it is "partial 16S ribosomal RNA". It matches the Rfam family "Bacterial small subunit ribosomal RNA", at positions 524 to 776 of the family's 1533-position model. The record is from RNAcentral.
GACGAACCGUGCGAACGUUAUUCGGAAUCACUGGGCUUAAAGCGCGUGUAGGCGGAUGGGGACGUCGGUUGUUGAAAGCCCCCGGCUCAACCGGGGAACUGGCACCGAAACGCCCCGUCUCGAGGGACGUAGGGGGACCUGGAACUUCCGGUGGAGCGGUGAAAUGCGUUGAGAUCGGAAGGAACGCCCGUGGCGAAAGCGGCUCACUGGACCAUAACUGACGCUGAUGCACGAAAGCUGGGGGAGCAAACAGG